GACCGCCUUAGAGGAGAGAAAGAAGGCUGAGGCCGAGGUCUCCGAACUAAAGGCGCAGGUUUUCGAGUUGAAGGCACAGAUUUCUGAGCUGAAAGCGCGGAUCCUGUCCCUGGUCUCGGAGGCAGGGGCCCGAGCAGUGGAGUUCAAGGCCUCCUCCAAGAUGGAGGAUCUACAGGUCCAGUUCGGCUAGGACGCCUUCAUCAAGGAUUUCGAAUUCUGCCAAGAGAAGGUGGCUGGA
Molecule: long non-coding RNA, 238 nt
Filed under: Elaeis guineensis (African oil palm)
Lineage: Eukaryota; Viridiplantae; Streptophyta; Magnoliopsida; Arecales; Arecaceae
Description: long non-coding RNA (EGUI_LNC077799)
Source: RNAcentral